This 492-nucleotide ribosomal RNA is filed under the name uncultured bacterium. Its description in RNAcentral is "partial 16S ribosomal RNA". It matches the Rfam family "Bacterial small subunit ribosomal RNA", at positions 29 to 507 of the family's 1533-position model. The record is from RNAcentral.
AGUGAACGCUGGCGGUAGGCCUAACACAUGCAAGUCGAACGGCAGCACAGUAAGAGCUUGCUCUUACGGGUGGCGAGUGGCGGACGGGUGAGGAAUACAUCGGAAUCUACUUUUUCGUGGGGGAUAACGUAGGGAAACUUACGCUAAUACCGCAUACGACCUACGGGUGAAAGCAGGGGAUCUUCGGACCUUGCGCGAUUGAAUGAGCCGAUGUCGGAUUAGCUAGUUGGCGGGGUAAAGGCCCACCAAGGCGACGAUCCGUAGCUGGUCUGAGAGGAUGAUCAGCCACACUGGAACUGAGACACGGUCCAGACUCCUACGGGAGGCAGCAGUGGGGAAUAUUGGACAAUGGGCGCAAGCCUGAUCCAGCUAUACCGCGUGGGUGAAGAAGGCCUUCGGGUUGUAAAGCCCUUUUGUUGGGAAAGAAGAGCAGCAGGUUAAUACCCCGCUGUCCUGACGGUACCCAAAGAAUAAGCACCGGCUAACUUCGUG